RNAcentral lists this RNase P RNA (316 nucleotides) under Legionella sp. 24223. RNAcentral's name for it is "partial ribonuclease P RNA". It matches the Rfam family "Bacterial RNase P class A", at positions 47 to 315 of the family's 367-position model. From Rfam's summary of the family: Ribonuclease P (RNase P) is a ubiquitous endoribonuclease, found in archaea, bacteria and eukarya as well as chloroplasts and mitochondria. Its best characterised activity is the generation of mature 5'-ends of tRNAs by cleaving the 5'-leader elements of precursor-tRNAs. Lineage: Bacteria; Pseudomonadati; Pseudomonadota; Gammaproteobacteria; Legionellales; Legionellaceae. The record is from RNAcentral.
AAAGUCCGGGCUCCAAAGGGCAGGGUGCCAGGUAACUCCUGGGAGGUGUGAACCUACGGAAAGUGCCACAGAAAAUAUACCGCCCGCUUGUUUUUCUUUUUGAGGCUCGUCCUUAAAAUGAUUCAAACAAGCGGGUAAGGGUGAAAUGGUGCGGUAAGAGCGCACCGCGCGAUUGGCAACAGUCGUGGCAGGGAAAACCCCACCCGGAGCAAGACCAAAUAGGAAUCCAUUUGACUGCAAAGUCAUAUCGUGCGGCCCGCACGGGAUUCGGGUAGGUCGCUUGAGGCAUACGGUGACGUGUGUCCCAGAUGAAUGA